Molecule: ribosomal RNA, 253 nt
Filed under: uncultured bacterium
Lineage: Bacteria
Description: partial 16S ribosomal RNA
Rfam family: Bacterial small subunit ribosomal RNA
Source: RNAcentral
UACGUAGGGGGCAAGCGUUGUCCGGAUUUAUUGGGCGUAAAGAGCGUGUAGGCGGCCUUACAGGUCAGCUGUGAAAACUCGAGGCUCAACCUCGAGACGUCGGUUGAAACCGUAAGGCUAGAGUCCGGAAGAGGAGAGUGGAAUUCCCAGUGUAGAGGUGAAAUUCGUAGAUAUUCGCAAGAACACCAGUGGCGAAGGCGGCUCACUGGCCCGGUACUGACGCUGAGGUGCGAAAGCGUGGGGAGCAAACAGG